RNAcentral lists this long non-coding RNA (1761 nucleotides) under Nicotiana benthamiana. Its description in RNAcentral is "long non-coding RNA (NBEN_LNC002994)". Lineage: Eukaryota; Viridiplantae; Streptophyta; Magnoliopsida; Solanales; Solanaceae. The record is from RNAcentral.
CGUCCUAACCCUAGUCUUAGCUCCAUCGUACAUGUCCUUGAUUACUCUGAUGUAGGCAUAGUAAAAAGACCAUAGCAUUAAAAAUUAAUUUCAAAUCCUCCUGAAGGAAUAUACCUGAUUACACGCACUGAACACAUGGCUUUGUCAAAUGAAAUUUUCAUGCUCAACAUCUAUUCACCGGACACAAAUUUUAAAAACAAUCAAGUACUUAAUUAACUGGGCAACUUCACAUAUGAACCUUACCUAAUUGUCGCAUGCAUUCAUCAUUCUGUUAUGAAUAGUCAAAAUGGUGAUCGCUGGAAAAUAUUAAGUGACAAUAUUAAUAAACAUGGAAGCUAGGACAAUAAGUGAGAUACUGAAGGCUAAGCAAAUCCACAGUAGUUAAUUCAUACUUCAAAACGUGACUUCCACACUUCAUAAUAGCAAGAGGAAACGUUUAAAGACAUAAUAGUAGCUUUCACAACCAAGAAGAGAUGAAUCAAGCGUGAUUUUCAGCAAGAUUACAAAGGAUUUUGAAUGAACUAGAUCAUCAAUAGAUGAAAAGUUCCCCAGAAUAUUUCCAUUGCUUCUUUCACGCUCAGACCAUUAAAUUCAAAACCAAAACAAGUCACUCACGUAUUGACCUUCAAAUUUCAGCACGUAAAACCGACCCAACUGUGAACAAAUUGGGCGCUAUCACCAAGUAGAAUGGAAAAUUCAAGAACAAGACAUUAUGUAUUUGAUCUCAUUUGAACCUAAAAGCACACAGGUUUUUAUUUAGUUAUCACAAAUCAAAUAAAACAAACUAACAUGAAACUUUAACAAAUAGCAAAGUCUUUAAACUAAUCACAAAUCUAUAAAGCAAUUAGAUAACUACAAAAAUAGUGUGUAACCAUCACACAAUUCAAUAAUACACCCUCACAUCUUCCCUCGAACUAGCUUCUAUCAACCUUCAAUUGAAACUAAAAUUCUCCAUUCCACAGGCUCCUAUCAUAUUCCAAUUUACCAUUACUUUAGAAUAAAGGAAAUUUAAAGAGAAAGAGAUAAACCUGAAUGUGAAAAGAAAACUUUCAAUUAAUUCUAUUUUUGGAAGUAAAUACACUUUGAGGCAGCAGCCGAAGCUUGAAAAAAAGAAAGGAAAUACCAAACAAAUUACAACAACACGAACUGAGAGAGAUUCUAGACCUCGAUAGCGACGAACUCGAACACUUUCAAGCUCGAUUGAAUCCAUGCAUACUCAUUUUCGGUACUCAAUAUAGAACCAAGAACCAAGAACUUUGUGGUCUCACAUCAACUCGUAAGAAUAUAGAGAAGCCAAAUGCUAAAUCUUUGUCGCUGCCAUUAAAUUAUUUACCCAAGGCUAUGCAUGAGCUAGAGGAUGUAUAUUGGAGAAGCGAUAUGGAAGCCUUUGUUGGAGCCUUGACGGACUGCCUUGUGAAUCACUGAAGGGGUUAGGGUUCGAAGGUUGGAGGAUUGAAGAUGAUCGAAGAGGGAACGGAGAGGGUCCCUUGUGUGUUUGGUGAGAUGCUAGGUUUCAGGCGUGAUUUCAAAAGGGUCAAAAAAAGAGAGAGAUCAGACGUUCCAAAAUCUGAUGGGGUGUCUUCUUUUUGUGUUAAGCGGCUAGGGACGCCUAUUAGGGAUCUAGGGUUCAUUUAGAAUAAGCAGGGUUGGGAUUAUUGGGUGUUGGGUUGGGUCGACCCAGUUUGGGUUAGGUUGGGUGAAAAUUUGGGCUUCUAAAAUGUUUGGCCAAUUAAUUUAAAAUUAGCCUUUUUUAAUUUCCUU